Molecule: long non-coding RNA, 612 nt
Organism: Dermacentor silvarum
Lineage: Eukaryota; Metazoa; Arthropoda; Arachnida; Ixodida; Ixodidae
Exons: 3
Source: RefSeq, a predicted model, not a curated record
GUUUGUGUGUGCGAGCUUGUGCUAAUCUUAGCAACGGGGUCGGCCUUAAUGCCCGUAAAAAGAUAGAUCGCGCUUUGCUCCCGAUGACGGCCGGAUUAAAGCUCGGAGGAAGAUGACGAUCGUGCCCGAGCGGGGGCUAGCAGACGACGCGAGGCCACAUGCAGACGACACAGCGCAGCUUGCCCCAACAGCAGGAUAAACGACUCUGCUCUUAUUCCGAUGUCGCCUCAAACACGGGCCCGUCCACGGUUCCGAGCGAGCAGUACACCACGUCCAUGCUGUUGCUAUUGGCAUCCAUGCACCGCUCACCCAGGCCCAGCUGGCCCUCCGCAUUGAGCCGGAACACCUGCGAGCGUCGCCGCAAGACACGCUAGCGUGGUGGGACGACGAGACAUGGGCCACGCAAUCAGUUCGAGAGAGCGAAAACGCUCGGCUCGGGAAACCUUCACCGCCUUGGGAGGGUGGCGCAUGCAGCUCAAAGGGAACGGCUGGGCGAGCAGCGAUUGACCGUAAUUCGAUCCUGACUGAAGGUCCCGGCUGGUGCCCAUACAUUUCUUUGGCACCAAAUUUUCGUUAUUUUGAUCCUGAAAUUAGCCUUUGCUAGAUAAUUUG